CCUACGGGAGGCAGCAGUAGGGAAUCUUCCGCAAUGGACGAAAGUCUGACGGAGCAACGCCGCGUGAGCGAAGAAGGUCUUCGGAUCGUAAAGCUCUGUUGUUAGGGAAGAACAAGUACCGUUCGAAUAGGGCGGUACCGUGACGGUACCUAACCAGAAAGCCACGGCUAACUACGUGCCAGCAGCCGCGGUAAU
This 195-nucleotide ribosomal RNA is filed under the name uncultured Bacillus sp. RNAcentral describes it as "partial 16S ribosomal RNA". It matches the Rfam family "Bacterial small subunit ribosomal RNA", at positions 338 to 524 of the family's 1533-position model. Lineage: Bacteria; Bacillati; Bacillota; Bacilli; Caryophanales; Bacillaceae. The record is from RNAcentral.